CUAUCUGAAUAAACUUCUUAAAAUGAGUAACAAAGUAUGUUUCCUUUUUCUGUUUGCCUCUAUGUGUUUUUGUUAUCAAUUUCCUUAGUUUUGUUCUCUCUGCUCAGAGCUUUGCUCUCACUUCCAGAUUUGCACUUACACUGUCUGGCUUUCUCCUUUGCAAUCCCUGAGUUUUUGGUUGCAAUUCUGACACAACCCUUUCGGGUGGGCGGGACUUCUGAGAAGUCCUCUCCCAUAGGACAGUGGUUUCUCUUGAGUGACAGUUCAGUGACCUGGAAGUGAUGUAGCCUCCAAGACAUUUUUUUCCCACCUGGUCAACAACAUGAAUUUUGAGCCCCAAACAGGUUAUUUCUGCUGUCUGUGGUGUCUACUGAGGAUCUAAAGAACCUGUGGAACAUCAGAGACUUUGCAGCUACUGGAGCUAACCUGUGUACUGCUAACUUGCUACAGAGGAAGCAGCAGAAAGCUGAGCUAACAGGCUGUUUUGCAGGUAAAUACUCUUUUAGUGGAACUGCAGGAUUUUUAUGGUAUAACUCAGACAGAAUCUACAUGAGCUAUUGUGGGAAGACAUUUAAACUACAUUUACAUACAGAUACAUGUAUUUUUUUAUUCCAUGUUACUUGGACGGGCUAAACAAGUUCAUAGUUCUGCCUGCUCCUUUUUCAGUGAAACGAAUGGAUUUUAUGAUGUAACUCUGACUGAAUAAUUAUCUAAAUUGAAAACUGCUGCAUUGCAUUACAAUGGAAGUGCUACACAGCCACAUGCAUCAACUGCAGCUGUUGACAAGCAUAUGGACCUAUUGUUCGAGUCCGUGGUGGUGGAUGCUCUAUCAUAUCAGGAGUCGGUGGUGGUGGAUGCUCUACCAUAUCAGGAGUCUGACUAAGUACCUGUGCCUGAACCUCUCUGUGUCUAGUUCAAAAGACCUGAAAGACCUGCUGUAAGCAGGCACAGGAUAAGAUUUUAAAAGAACCUGUAAGGUUGCCUGAUGCUGAACUUCGGGCAGCUGCGUGCUCAGUGGAACAACCGCCUGUGGGAGGAGUCGUUGUGUUGCUGUUAGAAGUUUGGGUCGGAGUCCUGGAUCUAUGGGAAUUCUUUCCUUGAAGCUCCUGAUCACACAACCAUACUGGCAGUCGGCUUACCCACUACCUUCUGCUCACCCGCUUGCUACUCAUGCUGUCAUUCUCCCAGACUUCUGGUUGUUUCUCCACCAUUCUGCUGUCUCCCGUCUGCGCUACAAUUUCAGACCGUAAGUACCUAAACUUUUCCUUUUGUAAGUCAUUCUUUAGUCAUUACUAACACUCAAUUUUACCUCAGGGCCUUCUGAUCUUUAAACACUAAAACCUGUGGCUCCAUCUCUGUGGCGUUUCUCAGACUCUGUAAGCUACCUGCACAGUCUAAGAAAACCCUGACCUGUUGCCUCUUACUAACCUCUGCUCUUCCUCGCAGAAGCUUCUGGUUCCUGAUCUCCAGCUGUUACCUCUUCAGUCAUCCGUCAAACAUUUUAAUAAACUGUUUUUAGCUCA
Non-coding RNA from Nothobranchius furzeri (turquoise killifish), 1523 nucleotides. NCBI's taxonomy places the organism in Eukaryota, Metazoa, Chordata, Actinopteri, Cyprinodontiformes, Nothobranchiidae. The record is from RefSeq and is a predicted model, not a curated record.